Molecule: long non-coding RNA, 3441 nt
Filed under: Salmo salar (Atlantic salmon)
Lineage: Eukaryota; Metazoa; Chordata; Actinopteri; Salmoniformes; Salmonidae
Description: lncRNA (ENSSSAG00000110981.1)
Source: RNAcentral
GGGGGGACAGCCAGGAGGGAUCUCACUAUCUUCCUGGCGGGUGGAAGCUGGGGAGUGGGGGUUGGGUUGGAAUGGGAAGGGAAGAAAGGUGUUCUUAUGGUCUUCCAAAAUGUUUUUCUUUUUCACGGAUGCUAUGACUAAAUUGUACCAUUUGUAACAUAAAACCAUGUACCAAACUGUGCCUUUGUACAGUACCAGUCAAAAGUUUGGACACACCUACACAUUCAAGGGUUUUUCUUUUCUUUUUGCUAUUUUCUCCAAAUACCAAGUCCAUAUUAUGGCAAGAACAGCUCAAAUAGGCAACGAGAAAUGACAGUACAUCAUUACUUAAAGACUUUCAGUCAAUCUGAAAAAUGUCAAGAACUUUGAUGGUUUUUGCGACUGCACUUGAAGAAACUAUCAAGCGUUAGGAUGAAACUGGCUCUCAUGAGGACCGCCACAGGAAAGGAAGACCCAGAAUUACCUCUGCUGCACAGGAUAAAUUCAUUAGAGUUAACUGCACCUCAGAUUGCAGCCAAAAUAAGUGCUUCACAGACUUCAAGUAACAGACACAUCUCAACAUCAACUGUUCAGAGGAGACUGCGUGAAUCAGACAUUCAUGGUCAAAUUGCUGCAAAGAAACCCCUCCUAAAGGACCCCAAUAAGAAGAAGAGACUUGCUUGGGCCAAGAAACAUGAGCAAUGGACAUUCGAUCGGUGGAAAUCUGUCCUUUGGUCUGAUGAGUCCAAAUUUGAGACUGUUGGUUCCAACCGCUGUGUCUUUGUGAGACGCAGAGUAGGUGAACGGAUGAUCUCCGCAUGUGUAGUUGCCACGUGAAGCAUGGAGGAGGUGUGUUGGUGCUUUGCUGGUGACACUGUCUGUGAUUUAUUUAGAAUUCAAGGCACUCUUAGCCAGCAUGGCUACCACAGCAUUCUGCAGCGAUACGCCAUCCCAUCUGGUUUGUCCUUAGUAGGACUACAAUUUAUUUUUCAACAGGACAAUGACCCAACACACCACCAGGCUGUGGAAGGGCUAUUUUACCAAGAAGGAGAGUGAUGGAGUGCUGCACCAGAUGACUUGGCCUCCCCAAUCACCCAACCUCAACCCAAUUGAGAUGGUUUGGGAUGAGUUGGACUGCAGAGUGAAGGAAAAGCAGCCAACAAGUGCUCAGCAGAUGCGGGAACUCCUUCAAGACAGUUGGAAAAGCAUUCCAGGUGAAGCUGGUUGAGAGAAUGCCAAGAGUGUGCAAAGCUGCCAUCAAGGCAAAGGUUGGCUACUUUGAACAAUUUAAAAUGUGUUUUAACACUUUUUGGUUACUACAUGAUUCCAUAUGUGUUAUUUCAUAUUUUUGAUGUCUUCAUUAUUAUUUUACAAUGUAGAAAACAGUAAAAAUAAAGAUAAGCCCUUGAAUGAGUAGGUGUGUCCAAACUUUUGACUGGUACUGUAUACUCUGAUGUUUCUCAUGAUUGGUAUCAAUAAAAUACAUUACAUUUUACAUUUAAGUCAUUUAGCAGACGCUCUUAUCCAGAGUGACUUACAAAUUGGUGCAUUCACCUUAUGAUAUAUUUAAACACAAAAGAAUUACUGAGGUAAGGAGACAGUAUAUCUUUCAAACAUAAGCUGUCAGACUAUUAUUAUAUGUAACUUGUACAUUUCUCCCUUGGGGAACAUGGAAUUGUGUCUGCCAAGACAUUCCUCAAUGCAUAGGCUAUCCUUUUGCUGGUUUUGCUGAUGGAAUUGAGAGAUAUUUGCCAGAGGGACAUUAUCAUCAAGUAAGUGGUAUUUAUAUUGUCAUCUAGAUCCAGGUGCUUCUGUAAACUGUGUUUUCAGUGCUACUGUAGCAUCCCUAUAUGGCCCCACACAGAUUGGUUGUGAAAUUCGGGUGUACAUGCAUUGUAAUACCAAUGCGUAUCCCAACGGUGGAGAGGACACUCUAUUCUCAACAUCCGUUGUAAUAAUUCCUUACACACACAGAGAGAGAUUUGUUAGGGCAACAAGUGCAGUCUUUCCCAACUCCGGUCCUCGAGUACCCUCAACAGUACAUAUUUUAGUUGUGGCCCCUGACAAGCACACCUGAUUCUAAUUGUAAUUUAAUCAUCAAGCCCUUGACCAUUUGAAUCAGGUGUUUUUGGCACUAAAACUAAAAUGUGUGCUGUUGGGGGUAUUCAAGGACCAGAGUUGGGAAACACUGGCCUAGUGGUUACAGUGUUGGGCCAGUAACCAAAAGGUCACUGGUUCAAAUCCCCAAGCUGAAAAGGUAAAAAUCUGUACAGUAGAUGUGCCCUUGAGUAAGGAACUGAGCACUGUACAGAAAGCUGCUGUAGGUCACUACAGAGUACUGACUCUCUCGAGGAAGCAAUGGCUAAUUAUGUUGAGUUCCAAAAGUAUUGGGACAGUCACACAUUGUUUGGGCUCUGUACUCCAGCACUUUCAAUUUGAAAUUACACAGAAACUGCAGACUGUCAGCUUUAAUUUGAGGGUAUUUUCAUCCAUAUCGAGUGAAGCGUUUAGAAAUUACAACACUUUUUGUACAUAGUCCCCCCCCCCCCCAUUUUAGGGGAUCAAAAGUAUUGGGACAAAUUCACUUGUGUAUUAAAGUAGUCAAAAGUUUAGUAUUUGGUCCCAUAUUCAUAGCACUCAAUGAUUACAUCAAGUUUGUGACUCUACAAACGUUUUGGAUGCAUUUGUUGUUUGUUUUGGUUGUGUUUCAGAUUAUUUUGUGCCCAAUAGAAAUGAAUGAUAAUGUAUUGUGUCCUUUUUGGAGUCACUUUUAUGUAAAUAACAAUAUAAUAGUUUUCUAAAGACUUCUACAUUAAUGUGGAUGCUACCAUGAUUAUGGAUAGUCCUGAAUGAAUCGUGAGUAAUGGUGAGUGAGAAAGUUACAGCUGCACAAAUAUCAUACCCCCCCCCCCAAAAAAAUGCAGGACAAAGUAAAAAAUAAAUAACAAUAAUCCCUGUCCCAAUACUUUUGGUGCUCACUGUAUAUCACCACAUAUACAAGCUCAGUCAAGGGUGAAAAUCACACACACAAAAAUCAACAAGCAAAAGUUUGUUUCUUUGUGACAUUUGGUAAAAUAGUUUAGUUUUGCCAGAACCAUUGCACAUCUGUUUUUGAGCAAACACACUCAUCAAAACAUUGGUUGUCCAGUUCUGUCAAACUUGUGGUAAAUCCGAAUUCCAACACCAAUGUGUACGAACGGGGUCUAUGGAAGUGUACCACAGCCUUUGCAGAGAGGUCUGGACCUUUAUGGCACAGAACAUCAGGAGUGGAGGAACACCCUUGUCGAACCCCAGGCCCAGAACAGGCUUCUGGCAGACCUUGAAAGACAUAACUCCUGAAUGGGAGUGGACCUGAGGUUUACGGCUUAGCUGCUCUACCCAAUUACACAGGAAUUGGAGAGGCUAAACAAAACACAGUGGAGUUUUUACUAUGCCACUGGGGGCUGUGUGUGUGUGUUUGAG